AAUCAAGUGCCUUAAGGGUGUUCGGUGGAUGCCUUGGCGCUGAGAGGCGAUGAAGGACGUGCUACGCUGCGAUAAGCCGUGGGGAGCUGCGAAGAAGCUUUGAUCCGCGGAUUUCCGAAUGGGGAAACCCACCUUCGAUAGCCGGAACUCCAAGACCUUGUGUCUUGGUGUUCGACCAGAAAUGAUCGGGACCAUGACCGCGAGGUUUUGGAUUUCCGGUUAUCAAGAGAAGGUAUGAGACUUCUGAAUACAUAGGAGGUUUCAAGCGAACCCAGGGAACUGAAACAUCUAAGUACCUGGAGGAAAGGACAUCAACAGAGACUCCGUUAGUAGUGGCGAGCGAACGCGGACCAGGCC
RNAcentral lists this ribosomal RNA (357 nucleotides) under Bradyrhizobium sp. 12LoS6_1. RNAcentral describes it as "bacterial LSU rRNA". It matches the Rfam family "Bacterial large subunit ribosomal RNA", at positions 1 to 270 of the family's 2925-position model. Lineage: Bacteria; Pseudomonadati; Pseudomonadota; Alphaproteobacteria; Hyphomicrobiales; Nitrobacteraceae. The record is from RNAcentral.